CAUCCUCAGUUCGGACUGGGGUCUGCAACCCGACCCCACGAAGCUGGAUUCGCUAGUAAUCGCGCACCAGCCAUGGCGCGGUGAAUACGUUCCCGGGCCUUGUACACACCGCCCGUCAAGCCAUGAAAGCCCGGGGGGCGCCUGAAGUCCGUGACCGCGAGGGUCGGCCUAGGGUGAAACCGGUGAUUGGGGCUAAGUCGUAACAAGGUAAC
Molecule: ribosomal RNA, 212 nt
Filed under: uncultured bacterium
Lineage: Bacteria
Description: partial 16S ribosomal RNA
Rfam family: Bacterial small subunit ribosomal RNA
Source: RNAcentral